Non-coding RNA from Picea glauca (white spruce), 78 nucleotides. The record is from Rfam. NCBI's taxonomy places the organism in Eukaryota, Viridiplantae, Streptophyta, Pinopsida, Pinales, Pinaceae.
GAAAGCUGUAUGCCCUGAGAGAGGCUUUUACAGUUUGGGAAGGGAUUUUUAUUUAUCGGAAUAAGAGUCUACUUCAAC